Molecule: ribosomal RNA, 406 nt
Filed under: uncultured bacterium
Lineage: Bacteria
Description: partial 16S ribosomal RNA
Rfam family: Bacterial small subunit ribosomal RNA
Source: RNAcentral
AUUGAACGCUGGCGGCAGGCCUAACACAUGCAAGUCGAGCGAGCGGCGGACGGGUGAGUAAUGUCUGGGAAACAGCCUGAUGGAGGGGGAUAACUACUGGAAACGGUAGCUAAAACCGCAUAACAUAAGAUGUGCCCAGAUGGGAUUAGCUCGUAGGUGGGGUAAUGGCUCACCUCGGUGACGAUCCCUAGCUGGUCUGAGAGGAUGACCAGCCACACUGGAACUGAGACACGGUCCAGACGCCUACGGGAGGAAGCAGUGGAGAAUAUUGCACAAUGGGCGCAAGCCUGAUGCAGCCAGGCCGCGUGUGUGAAGAAGGCCUUCGGGUUGUAAAGCACUUUCAGCGGGGAGGCGUUACCCGCAGAAGAAGCACCGGCUAACUCCGUGCCAGCAGCCGCGGUAAUAC